AUGCAAGUCGAGCGGGGAAAGGUAGCUUGCUACUGGACCUAGCGGCGGACGGGUGAGUAAUGCUUAGGAAUCUGCCUAUUAUUGGGGGACAACAUUCCGAAAGGAAUGCUAAUACCGCACACGUCCUACGGGAGAAAGCAGGGGACCUUCGGGCCUUGCGCUAAUAGAUGAGCCUAAGUCGGAUUACCUAGUUGGUGGGGUAAAGGCCUACCAAGGCGACUAUCUGUAGCGGGUCUGAGAGGAUGAUCCGCCACACUGGGACUGAGACACGGCCCAGACUCCUACGGGAGGCAGCAGUGGGGAAUAUUGGACAAUGGGGGGAACCCUGAUCCAGCCAUGCCGCGUGUGUGAAGAAGGCCUUAUGGUUGUAAAGCACUUUAAGCGAGGAGGAGGCUACUAGUAUUAAUACUACUGGAUAGUGGACGUUACUCGCAAAAUAAGCACCGGCUAACUCUGUGCCAGCAGCCGCGGUAAUACAGAGGGUGCGAGCGUUAAUCGGAUUUACUGGGCGUAAAGCGUGCGUAGGCGGCCAUUUAAGUCAAAUGUGAAAUCCCCGAGCUUAACUUGGGAAUUGCAUUCGAUACUGGAUGGCUAGAGUAUGGGAGAGGAUGGUAGAAUUCCAGGUGUAGCGGUGAAAUGCGUAGAGAUCUGGAGGAAUACCGAUGGCGAAGGCAGCCAUCUGGCCUAAUACUGACGCUGAGGUACGAAAGCAUGGGGAGCAAACAGGAUUAGAUACCCUGGUAAUCCAUGCCGUAAACGAUGUCUACUAGCCGUUGGGGCCUUUGAGGCUUUAGUGGCGCAGCUAACGCGAUAAGUAGACCGCCUGGGGAGUACCGUCGCAAGACUAAAACUCAAAUGAAUUGACGGGGGCCCGCA
This 876-nucleotide ribosomal RNA is filed under the name Acinetobacter sp. EGY-WCA1. Its description in RNAcentral is "bacterial SSU rRNA". It matches the Rfam family "Bacterial small subunit ribosomal RNA", at positions 55 to 925 of the family's 1533-position model. The record is from RNAcentral. Lineage: Bacteria; Pseudomonadati; Pseudomonadota; Gammaproteobacteria; Moraxellales; Moraxellaceae.